UACAGAGGGGGCAAGCGUUGUCCGGAAUUACUGGGCGUAAAGGGCGCGUAGGCGGCCUGUUAAGUCGAACGUGAAAUCCCUGGGCUCAACCCAGGAACUGCGUCCGAUACUGGCAGGCUUGAAUCCGGGAGAGGGAUGUGGAAUUCCAGGUGUAGCGGUGAAAUGCGUAGAUAUCUGGAGGAACACCGGUGGCGAAGGCGGCAUACUGGACCACUACUGACGCUGAUGCGCGAAAGCCAGGGGAGCAAACGGG
This 253-nucleotide ribosomal RNA is filed under the name uncultured bacterium. Its description in RNAcentral is "partial 16S ribosomal RNA". It matches the Rfam family "Bacterial small subunit ribosomal RNA", at positions 524 to 776 of the family's 1533-position model. The record is from RNAcentral.